AGCGAACGCUGGCGGCAGGCCUAACACAUGCAAGUCGAACGGAUCCUUCGGGAUUAGUGGCGGACGGGUGAGUAACACGUGGGAACGUGCCCUUUGGUUCGGAACAACUCAGGGAAACUUGAGCUAAUACCGGAUGUGCCCUUCGGGGGAAAGAUUUAUCGCCAUUGGAGCGGCCCGCGUCUGAUUAGCUAGUUGGUGAGGUAACGGCCCACCAAGGCGACGAUCAGUAGCUGGUCUGAGAGGAUGAUCAGCCACACUGGGACUGAGACACGGCCCAGACUCCUACGGGAGGCAGCAGUGGGGAAUCUUGCGCAAUGGGCGAAAGCCUGACGCAGCCAUGCCGCGUGAAUGAUGAAGGUCUUAGGAUUGUAAAAUUCUUUCAGCGGGGACGAUAAUGACGGUACCCGCAGAAGAAGCUCUGGCUAACUUCGUG
Molecule: ribosomal RNA, 433 nt
Filed under: uncultured bacterium
Lineage: Bacteria
Description: partial 16S ribosomal RNA
Rfam family: Bacterial small subunit ribosomal RNA
Source: RNAcentral